CCUACGGGAGGCAGCAGUGAGGAAUAUUGGUCAAUGGGCGGGAGCCUGAACCAGCCAAGCCGCGUGAGGGAUGAAGGUCCAGCGUAUCGUAAACCUCUUUUGUCAGGGAACAAAGGCGGGGACUCAUCCCCGCAUGAGUGUACCUUACGAACAAGCAUCGGCUAACUCCGUGCCAGCAGCCGCGGUAAUACGGAGGAUGCGAGCGUUAUCCGGAUUUAUUGGGUUUAAAGGGUGCGCAGGCGGCCUGUUAAGUCAGCGGUAAAAGCCCGGGGCUCAACCCCGGCGUGCCGUUGAAACUGGGGGGCUGGAGUGGGAGAGAGGUACGCGGAAUGCGCGGUGUAGCGGUGAAAUGCUUAGAUAUCGCGCAGAACCCCGAUUGCGAAGGCAGCGUACCGG
This 396-nucleotide ribosomal RNA is filed under the name uncultured bacterium. RNAcentral describes it as "partial 16S ribosomal RNA". It matches the Rfam family "Bacterial small subunit ribosomal RNA", at positions 338 to 732 of the family's 1533-position model. The record is from RNAcentral.